UUCAACUCUCUCACCUCUCACCCUCAUCGAACUUCUCCCAUCUUCACCCUUACCCAGUUGAAACUCAGAUUCUUUCACGCUCACCCUCACCUUCACCUUCAAUUUGUUUCUCAGACCUACCAUCCACUCUAACUCUUAACCACCCUCAAUUUUUUUCUCCAAAUAUAGGAUUAGGGUUUCAACGACACCGUCCCCUCUUGAAAUCUCUGCGGAACCCUUGAGCUUCUUCAUGAUAACAUUAUGAGACCUUUACGCCUCCACAAGUCUAACACCACAGGAGCCGAUAGAAACAAUCUUUGAAAUACAUUUUUCAUCCUACUUACUUUAAUCAGCGGUUUUAUUCACACCAAUAGAGAAAAAAUUGGUAGAUGAGCACUUGGGUCCGCUUUUCUUAUUCUUCGUAAGUCUGAGAGAAAAGAAGGCAGUAACCUUGGAUCUACAAGUCAUGCCUAAGCACAAAGUAUUAUAAAGAUUUCUCUAACAAACUCCACAAAGGGUCCUCCAAAAGAUGCUUGUAAGGCUAGGAACUCUUGAAUUCUGUCUCUAAAUUGUAAAUUUUCGGUCGAUACUAAUUAAUUGUUCAUGUAGUUUCUACUUAUCUUCUAUUAAUAUUUGUAUUUUGUAAGUACUUAAAUUUUGAGAAGAAUUGAUAUUUUAUUUUAGUAGAAAUGUUGUAAAAUCAGUAUCGGUCAUUAAUGCACAAAAUGAAAACAAGGGCAUUUAAUAGCGCUUCCUUGAAAAGUGCUAUUAAAUAUUAGGUCUAUAAUAGCGCUUUUCAUUAAAGUGCUAUUAAAUCCAAUUUUGAAACCGUAUAAACCAACACAAACAGGAUGUGAUACCGCUUUAAUGGGAAACGCUAUUAAAGCAUUUUCUUUUAAUAGCGCUUAAAAAGUGCUAUCAUUAGUAUAUGACAUAUAAUAGCGGAGGAUUUAAUAGCGCUUUGAAGGAGAUUUAUCAAAAUGAAGUAACGUCUUUACAGAAGACUACCUGGAGAGGUUCCUGAAUAGAAUAGAUCAUUGACUGAUGUAAAAGAGAUUAGGCUUUAAACAAAGCUCGGGAAAAAGUGUCUUGCAGAAGAUUAACUAAGAAACUUCUUGAAAGGGCAGUAGAUGUCUUAGAAAAGAUUGGAUAAAUAUUUUAAAGAAGAUUACCUAAAGAGGUUGAGAUAUGUCUUAAAUAAGAAUAACCUUGAAAGGAUAUGACACGUCUUAAACAAGACUACCUAGAAAGGCUAUGACACGUCUUAAACAAGACUACCUAGAAAGGCUCCUAGAAAGGAUAUGAUACGUCUUAAACAAGACUACCUAGAGAGGCUCCUAGAAAGGAUAUGAAAAGUCUUAAACAAGACUCACCUAGAAAGGCUCCUAGAAAGGAUAUGAUACGUCUUAAAC
This is a long non-coding RNA of Vicia villosa (hairy vetch), 1391 nucleotides long. RefSeq lists it as uncharacterized. The transcript is spliced from 3 exons. Lineage: Eukaryota; Viridiplantae; Streptophyta; Magnoliopsida; Fabales; Fabaceae. The record is from RefSeq and is a predicted model, not a curated record.